Molecule: ribosomal RNA, 253 nt
Filed under: uncultured bacterium
Lineage: Bacteria
Description: partial 16S ribosomal RNA
Rfam family: Bacterial small subunit ribosomal RNA
Source: RNAcentral
GACGAACUGUCCUAACGUUGUUCGGAAUCACUGGGCUUAAAGGGCGCGUAGGCGGUCGACCAAGUCAGGGGUGAAAUCCUGCAGCUUAACUGUAGAAGUGCCUUCGAUACUGGUCGUCUGGAGGGAGGUAGGGGUGUGCGGAACUUCCAGUGGAGCGGUGAAAUGCGUUGAUAUUGGAAGGAACGCCGGAGGCGAAAGCGGCGCACUGGACCUCUUCUGACGCUGAGGCGCGAAAGCUAGGGGAGCAAACGGG